GACGGAGGGGGCAAGCGUUGUUCGGAAUUAUUGGGCGUAAAGAGCUCGUAGGCGGACUGGAUAGUCUGACGUGAAAUCUCCACUACUCAACAGGGAGAGGCCGUUGGAUACUACCAGCCUGGAGUGCGGCAGAGGGCAGUGGAAUUCCAGGUGUAGCGGUGGAAUGCGUAGAUAUCUGGAAGAACACCGGUGGCGAAGGCGGCUGCCUGGGCCUGCACUGACGCUGAGGAGCGAAAGCCAGGGGAGCGAACGGG
Molecule: ribosomal RNA, 254 nt
Filed under: uncultured bacterium
Lineage: Bacteria
Description: partial 16S ribosomal RNA
Rfam family: Bacterial small subunit ribosomal RNA
Source: RNAcentral